This 285-nucleotide ribosomal RNA is filed under the name uncultured bacterium. RNAcentral describes it as "partial 16S ribosomal RNA". It matches the Rfam family "Bacterial small subunit ribosomal RNA", at positions 28 to 314 of the family's 1533-position model. The record is from RNAcentral.
GACGAACGCUGGCGGCGUGCUUAACACAUGCAAGUCGAGCGGUAAGGCCCUUUCGGGGGUACGACGAGCGGCGAACGGGUGAGUAACACGUGGGUGACCUGCCCUCAGCUCUGGGAUAAGCCUGGGAAACCGGGUCUAAUACUGGAUAUGACUCCAUGACGCAUGUUGUGGGGUGGAAAGCCUUGUGCGGCUGAGGAUGGGCCCGCGGCCUAUCAGCUUGUUGGUGGGGUGANGGCCUACCAAGGCGACGACGGGUAGCCGGCCUGAGAGGGCGACCGGCACACU